CGUACACUCCUACGGGAGGCAGCAGUGGGGAAUAUUGGACAAUGGGCGCAAGCCUGAUCCAGCCAUGCCGCGUGAGUGAUGAAGGCCCUAGGGUUGUAAAGCUCUUUCACCGGUGAAGAUAAUGACGGUAACCGGAGAAGAAGCCCCGGCUAACUUCGUGCCAGCAGCCGCGGUAAUACGAAGGGGGCUAGCGUUGUUCGGAUUUACUGGGCGUAAAGCGCACGUAGGCGGACUAUUAAGUCAGGGGUGAAAUCCCGGGGCUCAACCCCGGAACUGCCUUUGAUACUGGUAGUCUUGAGUUCGAGAGAGGUGAGUGGAAUUCCGAGUGUAGAGGUGAAAUUCGUAGCUAUUCGGAGGAACACCAGUGGCGAAGGCGGCUCACUGGCUCGAUACUGACGCUGAGGUGCGAAAGCGUGGGGAGCAAACAGGAUUAGAUACCCCAGUAGUCCCAUG
This 453-nucleotide ribosomal RNA is filed under the name uncultured organism. RNAcentral describes it as "partial 16S ribosomal RNA". It matches the Rfam family "Bacterial small subunit ribosomal RNA", at positions 330 to 799 of the family's 1533-position model. The record is from RNAcentral.